Molecule: ribosomal RNA, 253 nt
Filed under: uncultured bacterium
Lineage: Bacteria
Description: partial 16S ribosomal RNA
Rfam family: Bacterial small subunit ribosomal RNA
Source: RNAcentral
UACGUAGGGGGCUAGCGUUGUCCGGAUUUAUUGGGCGUAAAGAGCGUGUAGGCGGCCAGGUAGGUCUGCUGUGAAAACUCGAGGCUCAACCUCGAGACGUCGAUGGAAACCAUCUGGCUAGAGUCCGGAAGAGGAGAGUGGAAUUCCUGGUGUAGCGGUGAAAUGCGCAGAUAUCAGGAAGAACACCUAUGGCGAAGGCAGCUCUCUGGGACGGUACUGACGCUGAGACGCGAAAGCGUGGGGAGCGAACAGG